CAUUCAUAUGUUUACAGCUAAAUGAAGUUAGGAAGUAAAUGAGUGUGUGUUUAAAACAGUAUGAAGUGUGUUUGUGAAUGAUUGACAGGGACGAGCUCCUCCCCCGCGAGCCGCUCACGCUAGCGCUAGCAUCGGCAGCAAAGGCUACGUGUGCGGUGGAAGAAUAAAGGAAACUAGAACAAGUGACGAGUUUUUUCUGGAUUUAAAUUCAUGGACAUGGUCAGAAAUAGUUGGGUUGGGUCUAGCACCUGUGGGACGCUCAUGGCACACGCUAACAGCCGUGUCUGAUACGUCUCUUUCUGUUCGGUGGACUCAGACCCAUGAGUGACGGCUGGAUGUUUAAUCUGGAGACAAAAGGAUGGACAGAGAUGGAGCAUCAAAACAAGGACAAACCGCGUCUGUGGCACACUGCGUGUCAAGGAAGAGACUCAAAUGUUGUAGUGUUUUGAGGAAGUCAUGAUUAUAUCCUUUUAGUGGACAAAGGCCACUGCAACGAUGCGCUUGUUUUCCAGACUCAGCCGCAGCCGCUGAUGCGG
Molecule: long non-coding RNA, 536 nt
Organism: Sinocyclocheilus anshuiensis
Lineage: Eukaryota; Metazoa; Chordata; Actinopteri; Cypriniformes; Cyprinidae
Exons: 6
Source: RefSeq, a predicted model, not a curated record